UUGCGCUAAUAGAUGAGCCUAAGUCGGAUUAGCUAGUUGGUGGGGUAAAGGCCUACCAAGGCGACGAUCUGUAGCGGGUCUGAGAGGAUGAUCCGCCACACUGGGACUGAGACACGGCCCAGACUCCUACGGGAGGCAGCAGUGGGGAAUAUUGGACAAUGGGCGCAAGCCUGAUCCAGCCAUGCCGCGUGGGUGAAGAAGGCCUUCGGGUUGUAAAGCUCUUUUGUCAGGGAAGAAACGGCUGAGGUUAAUACCUUCGGCUAAUGACGGUACCUGAAGAAUAAGCACCGGCUAACUACGUGCCAGCAGCCGCGGUAAUACGUAGGGUGCGAGCGUUAUCCGGAAUUAUUGGGCGUAAAGAGCUCGUAGGCGGUUUGUCGCGUCUGCUGUGAAAACUCAAGGCUCAACCUUGGGCUUGCAGUGGGUACGGGCAGACUAGAGUGCGGUAGGGGUGACUGGAAUUCCUGGUGUAGCGGUGGAAUGCGCAGAUAUCAGGAGGAACACCGAUGGCGAAGGCAGGUCUCUGGGCUGUAACUGACGCUGAGGAGCGAAAGCAUGGGGAGCGAACAGGAUUAGAUACCCUGGUAGUCCAUGCCGUAAACGUUGGGCACUAGGUGUGGGGCUCAUUCCACGAGUUCCGUGCCGCAGCAAACGCAUUAAGUGCCCCGCCUGGGGAGUACGGCCGCAAGGCUAAAACUCAAAGGAAUUGACGGGGCCCCGCACAAGCGGCGGAGCAUGCGGAUUAAUU
Molecule: ribosomal RNA, 748 nt
Filed under: Mucochytrium quahogii
Lineage: Eukaryota; Bigyra; Thraustochytrida; Thraustochytriidae
Description: labyrinthulid quahog parasite QPX partial Bacterial small subunit ribosomal RNA
Rfam family: Bacterial small subunit ribosomal RNA
Source: RNAcentral